Molecule: ribosomal RNA, 361 nt
Filed under: uncultured Agaricales
Lineage: Eukaryota; Fungi; Basidiomycota; Agaricomycetes; Agaricales
Description: eukaryotic LSU rRNA
Rfam family: 5.8S ribosomal RNA (bases 1-82)
Source: RNAcentral
UACAGAUCGUGUGAAUCAUCGAAUCUUUGAACGCACCUUGCACUUUAAGAGUCGAUCUUAAAGUAUACCUGUUUGAGUAUCAUAAACAUUUAUCCAAGUUAUUGGGAUUUGUAUGGGUACAAUUAGCGGCGACGCUGAUUGUCUGUUUAAAUGUAGUAGAGAGUCUGGGAUAAGCGCGCUUAUUUCUUGAAUGAGGAUAUUUACUCUUGUAGUAAAGCGCAAUCAGGAGAGGAUGAGUAGCGGAUCUUUGGGCAUUCUUUAACAUCACGUCAAAGCAGAUUCAGUAAUGAGUCUGGGCACAAAUGUGAUCUCAAAUCAGGCAAGACUACCCGCCGAACUUAAGCAUAUCAAUAAGCGGAGG